Molecule: ribosomal RNA, 253 nt
Filed under: uncultured bacterium
Lineage: Bacteria
Description: partial 16S ribosomal RNA
Rfam family: Bacterial small subunit ribosomal RNA
Source: RNAcentral
UACGAAGGGUGCAAACGUUGCUCGGAAUCAUUGGGCGUAAAGCGCACGUAGGCGGCCUUGUAAGUCGGAUGUGAAAUCCCUCGGCUCAACCGAGGACGUGCAUCCGAAACUGCAAAGCUCGAGUAUGGAAGAGGGUCGCGGAAUUCCCGGUGUAGAGGUGAAAUUCGUAGAUAUCGGGAGGAACACCAGUGGCGAAGGCGGCGACCUGGGCCAAUACUGACGCUGAGGUGCGAAAGCGUGGGGAGCAAACAGG